GAAUUCUGAGGUCCAGGAAGUCUCCUUAAAGUUGGCACAAAUGCAGUAAGUGGCAACACUGGCAUGAAAGCCCAGGCCCCCUACUUCCCAAUCCAGUAGCGGGAGAAGUAAUAGCAUCAUUAGCAAUACCAACCACAAUAGAAACAGUGAACACUUACAUACUGGGCAGGUGCUGUUUGCACGUAAGAUCUCAAAAUCCUUACAACAGUGCUAUGAAGCAGGUGCUAUGGUUAACUUUAUUUUAGAGAUGAAGACCCAUCCCAAAGCAAUAGAGAAGCAGCUCCACAGGAAGAAAGUCAGAGAAUGAAAGAAGGCAGAAAAAAAGGGCUUCAUUAACUGACCGUGUUCUAGCAGUAUAUAUUUACAGAUGGCAGAGAGGAAACACACUAUAUUCUGGAAAGACCAAAGGACCCUGUGAAAGACUGCAGAUGAGAGACGAAAAGCAUGGCAAAUAACCUUAGCAUCAGGAAGUAAUAAGAAAAUAAAAAUGAAAUUGUGAAAGCC
This is a long non-coding RNA of Pongo pygmaeus (Bornean orangutan), 504 nucleotides long. RefSeq lists it as uncharacterized. Lineage: Eukaryota; Metazoa; Chordata; Mammalia; Primates; Hominidae. The transcript is spliced from 3 exons. The record is from RefSeq and is a predicted model, not a curated record.